GCGUCGAUAGUCUAAUGGUAGGACAUGAGCCUUCCAAGCUCACGAUCCGGGUUCGAAUCCCGGUCGACGCA
This is a non-coding RNA of Candidatus Micrarchaeota archaeon RBG_16_36_9, 71 nucleotides long. NCBI's taxonomy places the organism in Archaea, Nanobdellati, Microcaldota. The record is from Rfam.